AUACGAAGGGUGCUAGCGUUGUUCGGAAUUACUGGGCGUAAAGAGCAUGUAGGCGGAUAGAUUAGUCAGAGGUGAAAGCCCCGAGCUCAACUCGGGAACUGCCUUUGAUACUGUUUAUCUAGAGACCGAGAGAGGUGAGUGGAAUUCUCAGUGUAGAGGUGAAAUUCGUAGAUAUUGGGAAGAACACCAGUGGCGAAGGCGGCUCACUGGCUCGGAACUGACGCUGAGAUGCGAAAGCGUGGGGAGCGAACAGGAUUAGAAACCCCAGUAGUCC
Molecule: ribosomal RNA, 274 nt
Filed under: uncultured bacterium
Lineage: Bacteria
Description: partial 16S ribosomal RNA
Rfam family: Bacterial small subunit ribosomal RNA
Source: RNAcentral